CCUCAGUCGAAGUAAGACAUAUUAAAUAAACUGUGCUCCGCAUAAUACGAAAAUAAUUGGUGUUUUCUUUUUAAACGUUUGACAAAAAACAGAGAUUUGUUUGCUGAAUUAUAAUCGACCGAUAUUUUCAAGAAAAUUAUCGAUUUGUCAGGCGGGAGCUUGGAAAAGGCUCUGAAGAAUAUUAUUUCGUCAGAGAUCGCCAUAGAAUACAAUUAUGAAGGAACGAAUGGAAAACAUCCUUUUAAAACGCUGACAAACAUUAAUUUAUGUUUAUAUAAUGCGGUGAAAAAAGAUGGCCCUACUGCAAAACUUAUCUAUAGAAAAGCUAUUCAACAAGGGUUUAAGAGGAUGAAAAACUUGCAUUUUAAAAAAGCUGCUGCCGAGAAGAAAG
Eupeodes corollae is the source of this 391-nucleotide long non-coding RNA. RefSeq lists it as uncharacterized. NCBI's taxonomy places the organism in Eukaryota, Metazoa, Arthropoda, Insecta, Diptera, Syrphidae. The record is from RefSeq and is a predicted model, not a curated record. The transcript is spliced from 3 exons.